Molecule: ribosomal RNA, 550 nt
Filed under: marine sediment bacterium BB0608_AND_6.1_4G0
Lineage: Bacteria
Description: bacterial SSU rRNA
Rfam family: Bacterial small subunit ribosomal RNA
Source: RNAcentral
AGCUUGCUCCCUUAUGUUAGCGGCGGACGGGUGAGUAACACGUGGGUAACCUGCCUGUAAGACUGGGAUAACUCCGGGAAACCGGGGCUAAUACCGGAUGCUUGAUUGAACCGCAUGGUUCAAUUAUAAAAGGUGGCUUUUAGCUACCACUUACAGAUGGACCCGCGGCGCAUUAGCUAGUUGGUGAGGUAACGGCUCACCAAGGCAACGAUGCGUAGCCGACCUGAGAGGGUGAUCGGCCACACUGGGACUGAGACACGGCCCAGACUCCUACGGGAGGCAGCAGUAGGGAAUCUUCCGCAAUGGACGAAAGUCUGACGGAGCAACGCCGCGUGAGUGAUGAAGGUUUUCGGAUCGUAAAACUCUGUUGUUAGGGAAGAACAAGUACCGUUCGAAUAGGGCGGUACCUUGACGGUACCUAACCAGAAAGCCACGGCUAACUACGUGCCAGCAGCCGCGGUAAUACGUAGGUGGCAAGCGUUGUCCGGAAUUAUUGGGCGUAAAGCGCGCGCAGGCGGUUUCUUAAGUCUGAUGUGAAAGCCCCCGGCUC